This 600-nucleotide ribosomal RNA is filed under the name Comamonas testosteroni. Its description in RNAcentral is "bacterial SSU rRNA". It matches the Rfam family "Bacterial small subunit ribosomal RNA", at positions 371 to 964 of the family's 1533-position model. Lineage: Bacteria; Pseudomonadati; Pseudomonadota; Betaproteobacteria; Burkholderiales; Comamonadaceae. The record is from RNAcentral.
AUGGGCGAAAGCCUGAUCCAGCAAUGCCGCGUGCAUGAUGAAGGCCCUCGGGUUGUAAACUGCUUUUGUACGGAACGAAAAGCCUGGGGCUAAUAUCCCCGGGUCAUGACGGUACCGUAAGAAUAAGCACCGGCUAACUACGUGCCAGCAGCCGCGGUAAUACGUAGGGUGCAAGCGUUAAUCGGAAUUACUGGGCGUAAAGCGUGCGCAGGCGGUUUUGUAAGACAGUGGUGAAAUCCCCGGGCUCAACCUGGGAACUGCCAUUGUGACUGCAAGGCUAGAGUGCGGCAGAGGGGGAUGGAAUUCCGCGUGUAGCAGUGAAAUGCGUAGAUAUGCGGAGGAACACCGAUGGCGAAGGCAAUCCCCUGGGCCUGCACUGACGCUCAUGCACGAAAGCGUGGGGAGCAAACAGGAUUAGAUACCCUGGUAGUCCACGCCCUAAACGAUGUCUACUGGUUGUUGGGACGUAACUGACUCAGUAACGAAGCUAACGCGCGAAGUUCACCGCCUGGGGAGUACGGCCGCAAGGUGGAAACUCAAAGGAAUUGACGGGGACCCGCACAAGCGGUGGAUGAUGUGGUUUAAUUCGAUGCAACGCGA